UACGUAGGUGGCGAGCGUUGUCCGGAAUUACUGGGUGUAAAGGGAGCGUAGGCGGGAGAGCAAGUCGACUGUGAAAUCUAUGGGCUUAACCCUUAGCUGCGAUCGAAACUGUUCAUCUUGAGUGAAGUAGAGGCAGGCGGAAUUCCUAGUGUAGCGGUGAGAUGCGUAAAUAUUAGGAGGAACACCAGUGGCGAAGGCGGCCUGCUGGGCUUUAACUGACGCUGAGGCUCGAAAGCGUGGGUAGCAAACAGG
This 252-nucleotide ribosomal RNA is filed under the name uncultured bacterium. RNAcentral describes it as "partial 16S ribosomal RNA". It matches the Rfam family "Bacterial small subunit ribosomal RNA", at positions 524 to 776 of the family's 1533-position model. The record is from RNAcentral.